CACCACAGUGACCAUGCUGGAUCCUUAACCCUCUAGGCCACCAAGGAACUCCUCCAGGAAAGUUCUGCUUAAGGAUGGUCAUGCUCUAAGAUUCUUCGGUGAUUAUUUCCACCAGCAUCUUCAAUCUUCAGUGAAACAAGGGAAAGUGCAAGGAGGCACUUUGAUAAGUCAGGUGAAUGUGUGGGGUAUGGCUUGAGGAAAUAUUUAAACCACAGGAACCCAUGACCUGCCCAGGGAGAGGAUAUUGUGAGAGAAGAAAUUAGGGCUCCAGCCUGAACCCUGGAAAAUUCCAACAUUUAAAGACUGGAUGAGGAGGAGCAGUCAGCCAAGGAGCCUGAGAGAGGAGGGCUGGAGAAGUAGAGGGGUACCAGGAGGAUAUAGAUUCGGGGAAGAACAGCCAGGAGCGUCUUUGAGAAGGCAGGAUUUGAUCACUUAUCACAAGAGAAGACACUUGGGAGGGGGCUGUCCCCAGGGCAGGUGGAAGUUCCUGGGACAGAGAUCAAAUUCAAGCCACAGCAGUGACAAUGCUGGAUCCUUAACCCACUAGGCCACCAGGCAACUCCUCAAGAGGAGAAAUUUUAAUGGAGUGGGAGAGGCUGAAGCCAUAUGGAAAGCUGAGACAAUCCAAGGGUCACGGUGGUUUCAAGGGCUCUGCUUAGUCCAGCUGUGUAUGAAGUUUGGUUUACAAACUAAAAUUCCCCGGAAACUAAAAGUCGAGUGAAAAAACUAAAGUCCUGCAGGAUCCUUCAUUCCUGAGAGGAAAGAACUCAGGCAGAACUGGUAAUAGAAAAGAUUUGGCAAUGUAUAUAGUAAAAUUUCAGUAAACAGAUCAAAGAACAGGUUUUUGUUCAAGUGGGUGGAUUUAUUUACUGUUAAAUAUUUCUCCAUAAUAUUUCUGUAUAAAUAUCCUGUGAGUGCAACUAUAUUUGAACCAUUUGUGUGGGAAGUACCACACAAAAAGAAGUUUUGUUGGAGUUAUGAUACAUGGUUUUGAAAAAAUUAUGAUGUUUAUAUUGCUACCUUAUUAUCCUCUACGUAAAUGAAAAAAAAUCUAUUCACGUGACAUGGAAAGAAAGGAACUUGGGUUUCUGUGGUUUCUGCUCAACAUUUUGGGGCAGAAAAAUAGUCCCCAGGACAGAUAGGCAGUGUAAGGGGACCAGGAACAGGUAUUCCUCAUUUGUUUGCAAUUCUUUUCUUUCUUUUGCAGCUGCACCUGUGGCAUAUGGAAGUUCCAGGGCCAGGGAUCAAACCUGAGCCGAAUUCCUAUUGUGGUUCAGUGAUAACGAACCUAACGAGUAGCCAUGAGGACGAGGGUUUGAUCUCAGACCUCGCUCAGCAGGUUAAGGAUCCGGAGUUGCUGUGGCUGUGGUGUGAGCUUACAAGCGAAGCUCCAAUUCGACUUCUAGCCUAAGAACUUCCAUAUGUCAUGGGUACGGCCCUAAAAAGACAAAAAGAGAAAAAAAUAAUCUAUUUCUCAACUUACUACCUAACUUCCUAGUGACAAGAUCAGAGUUGGCCAUCAAGGCUGCGUCAUUUAUUUGCAUCAUUUCCCACUGUGAUUUCAUACCUAAACAUGAUUCCAUGGGUUUGUUUCUAUGGGCAGCUGGACUGCCCUGGCUUCCUGGCGGCUGUCCAAGCCCCAGCGAAAUGGCUGCAGGUGGAAACCAAGGGGGGGCAGGCAGCUGUCUUAAUAUUAUCAACUAAUCCUUUGUUACUUCGUUAUUGGCAUCUUCCUGCCAUGAGCCAGCAGAAAGAAUCCCAGUUUAGUUCCUGAGGUCAAAGGUGGGAUGGAGCAAAGGAUGAGAAGGGGCAGAAGGAACACAGAUCAAUCUUCACUGACCUCUCAGCCCGACACUGGCUGUAAUCAAUCUCGACAUCGGUUUUCUACUUACUGAGCCUUUGUUGCGUGCCUUGGGUGGUCACCAUGCUCGAGGCUGGCCACCUUCUUAAAGUAAGCCACUAUUAUUAAUUAUGAGAGGCAAAACCAUAUCAGGAUAUGAGUCCUUUUGCAAUAGAAAUGACCUUGAGAAAAGUAAUAAAAAUGGCCACUGCCUUUGUAAAAUUCAGAAAACUUAACACCAUAUUCCUUCCAGCCCCAUUUGAUACCUUUUACAACUUCUGCCCACUCAAUUAGAGGAAAGUGACAAGAUGGGAGGCAUAGAGGUUUCAGAUUAAAAUAUAUCUCAAGAAACUUUUUCAUGCUCCAAGGUAGAAAUUAUUCAUAGCCUUACAUACAGAUAAAGUCUCCCUCUUUCAACUUUAUAAAACUGUUUAGAACACCUUUCCCCACCCCCCAGUCAAACUGCUAUUUCUUAUUCCUUAUUUUUAAAUGUGUUUUAUUUAGAACCAGCUACUUCUCCUCUCACUUACUGUGAUGUACAUUUAUAUUUGAAAGAUCAUAACCUAAGAUCAGGUAGUGACAGGGACAGAAUAGGCACGGGUGGUUGUAGAAGUCCCAAUAAAGGACCAUAAACAGAGAGGGAAAUCUAGAGGAUGUUGAGAGAUCACUUAAGUUAAGAAAUUGCUCAAAACAGCCAUCAGAACAAGGCAGGCUUGCUUGACUAGUGGAGGUGUGAGAAUUGCCUCAGGUCAUUGGGUGGGGGAUGGGAUGAGCGCUGCAUUCAGAUUCAGACCAAGGCCAGGAGUCUGAGGACUACCCUUCUGCUGAUUUGAAUCCACACCUUACCAAAUACCAAGGAGGAGCUACUACUCUCAGAAAGGAAGAAGCCUUCCUUUCCAACCUCGACUCCCCUUGGAUGAUAAACUGUAGCCCACUGGAUCCUGGGGGCGGAGCCUCCUUGCCUGCCCGCUUAUAUCUCUCACAAGCGUCCUAUCUUAAUAAAUCUAUUUCUUGCCUAUCAUUUUGUCUCUCGCUGAAUCCUUCUUCGAGGAGGCAUAAAGAACCUGAACCUCAGUAAGUCCAGACAUUGGGUGAGUGCCAAUUUAAAACAUUAAAACGUGGGUUCAAGUCCCAAUCUGUGUCCUGGAUAGGUUCAGGCCGUUAGUGCUAUCAGUUUUAGCAGUAAUGAUGUUAUUUGAAAGGUUGGUCAUUUACUUGCACUGAGAAAAGAUCACUUUUUUUUAAGUGGCAUGUUUACGUGUGUACACAUCUUUAAGAAGCCACUCCAUUAUGACAUUACACAUUCUCUUUCAGAAUAACUUAAUUUUAAAGCUCAUUCCUUUUCCAUGAUUUCUUCUAAUACUCCUUUUGCACAAAUGGUUCUCAUAAGGAUGGAGAGAAAAGACACCUUUUUUUUUUCCAUUUAGGGCCACACCCACUGCAUAUGGAGCUUCCCAGGCUAGGGGCGAAUUGGAGCUAUAGCUGGCAGCCUACACCACAGCAACGCAGGAUCCGAGCAGUGUCUGGAACCUAUACCACAGCUCUUGGCAACACUGGAUCCUUAACCCACUGAGCAAAGCGAGGGAUCAAAUCCGCAUUCUCAUGGAUGCUAAUUGGGUUUGUUACCACUGAGCCAUGAUGGGGAACUCCCACACUGGGCCAUUUUUUGACUUGGCAAAACGAGCAGUCUCAUGGACUGAGACUAAAAGGUGGGCCGGCUGGGUCUCAAAGAGGUCCCCUGGGGAUAUGGCCUCUAGGGGACUUCGCCCUUGAGUGGGAAAUUUGCUGAUAACAGAGAUAAUUGGGAGUAGGAUUAAACCCAGGGUUUACAUCCAUAUUUUCUCUUCUGGGCUCUUUGCCCUUGAGCAACUGCGCUGGGCACCCAUCUGCUACCCAUAACUGAAGCCUUUGUGUUUUAAACAAAGUCGGCUUACAGGGCGCUUCCUUCUCC
This 3791-nucleotide long non-coding RNA is filed under the name Sus scrofa (pig). Its description in RNAcentral is "lncRNA (ENSSSCG00000050277.1)". Lineage: Eukaryota; Metazoa; Chordata; Mammalia; Artiodactyla; Suidae. The record is from RNAcentral.